GGAUGGCGUUGUGCUGUGGGUAGGAAGCAGCUGAGUAACCUGCGUGGGAGCCCAGCGAGGUCUUGGCCAUCUGCAGAUGUGCUGAUAGGUGGUUCUGCUCUGGUGCUCGCCCAGCCUUGUGUGGGCUAGAACUUCAGGCUUUGGGUCCUGCUUGAACACCGGGCAUCCUGGUUGAACCCUGAGGCCCGGGGCCCUGCGCAGGGUUACAGCACUGGUGAUUUCUGCGGAGAGCGGCUGGACAGGGGUCCUCUACCACUCUCAGAGAUGCAGUAUUCCGACAAGGUGAGAUCUGGGUCCUGGAGCCACACAGAAUGCUGCCUCCCUCUGGCCCGCCAUCUUGACCCCCGUGGCCCGUAUUCUUGAUGAUUGCCAUUCUGGCAGGAGGGAGAUGAAAUCUUACAGUAGUUUUGAUUUGCCUUUCUCUAAUUGCUAGAGAUGCUGAACACUUUUUCAUAUAUUUGUUGAUCAGUUGUAUUUCUAGUUCUGUGAAGUGUCUACUCAGUUUCUUAAUGUCACUUACGACAACACAUUCUCACUAGAACUACCUCAGUCCCAAAGCCCAGGAUUUGUCUUAGGGCAGUGCCCUCUGUGACCUGAUAGCCUUCCAUGAGGUGCCACUGCUUACAGGUUCCACCACCUCAACAUUGCCACACUGGGCAUUCCGCUUCCGGUACAUGACUGUAGGGGACACAUUCAGACCAUACCCAAACCAUAAAAGGCCUUUAUGAUAAAGCAGUUCUAGGAACACUCUAUAUGGGUGCUGCUCUGCUUUGGUUGAGUGUUCCCCACAGAGUCCUGCAUGGUGUCCCCAAUCCAUGGUGCUGUUGGGAGGUAGGGAGGUGGGGCCCAGUGAAAGGGUGCUGAGUCCCUGGGGCUCCUGACCCCUUCCUCACUUCCUGGCUCCCAUGAAAUGAACCCCAUCUCUAAACAGGUGAAUGCUUAUGAGCAGCUUCCUCUACCACGUGCUCCCCCUGAUUUACUGACUCAAAACAGGCUCAAAGCAAGUCACCGACCAGCCAGGUACUGAAAUCUCCAAAACCACAAGGCACAACAAACCUUUCUUCUCUUGAUAUCUCAGGUGGUUUGCUCAGUAAUGGAAAGUUGACUAACACAGGUGGGGAGAAAAGUCGCCUGUGAGAAAGCAAAACCUCAGGCCCUCCUGACAUGGGAGUGAACGGAAUCUCUAGUCACCACAAGCCGUGAGCGCAAGGAAGCAGGGUCCCCCUCAUGACCAGAACCCAGAACAGUGACAACACGCAGGAGGUUCUCCAAGAGCACAUGCGGAAUGAAAGCACCAUGACCUUGACCGGUCGAAUGAGGCAGAGGGGCUGUUUCGUGGAUUCUAGAGUCUUAGGAGGUCUAUCAGCUUCUGCUUUUGCCUUCUUGGAGCCCUGAGUGACCAAGUUAAGAAGUCUGGUCAUCCACUGGGAGAGGACGGGUGGACAGAAAGGCCCUAGAGGGUGAAAGUCAUGAGAACGAGGAUGAAAGUUCUGCCAGUCCCAGACGAGUGCCCCAACUCAUGGAGGGGAAGCUGACCAUCCUACCAAGCCCUGUAGGCCACUGGCAGAUCCGGGGGCAAAUAAAGCUGUCUUUGCUUUAUGUCACUAAAUUUUGA
Molecule: long non-coding RNA, 1615 nt
Filed under: Marmota monax (woodchuck)
Lineage: Eukaryota; Metazoa; Chordata; Mammalia; Rodentia; Sciuridae
Source: RNAcentral